GACGAACGCUGGCGGCGUGCCUAAUACAUGCAAGUCGAACGCAUUUUCUUUCACCGUAGCUUGCUACACCGAAAGAAACUGAGUGGCGAACGGGUGAGUAACACGUGGGUAACCUGCCCAUCAGCGGGGGAUAACACUUGGAAACAGGUGCUAAUACCGCAUAAUUCCAUUUACUGCAUGGUAGAUGGAUGAAAGGCGCUUUUGCGUCACUGAUGGAUGGACCCGCGGUGCAUUAGCUAGUUGGUGGGGUAACGGCCUACCAAGGCUGCGAUGCAUAGCCGACCGGAGAGGGUGAUCGGCCACACUGGGACUGAGACACGGCCCAGACUCCUACGGGAGGCAGCAGGAGGGAAUCUUCGGCAAUGGACGCAAGUCUGACCGAGAAACGCCGCGUGAGUGAAGAAGGGUUUCGGAUCGUAAAACUCGGUUGUUAGAAAAGAACAAGGAUGAGAGUGGAAAGUUCAUCCCUUGACGGUAUCUAACCAGAAAGCCACGGCUAACUACGUG
RNAcentral lists this ribosomal RNA (507 nucleotides) under uncultured bacterium. RNAcentral describes it as "partial 16S ribosomal RNA". It matches the Rfam family "Bacterial small subunit ribosomal RNA", at positions 28 to 507 of the family's 1533-position model. The record is from RNAcentral.